UUCUUCUCUAGGUACAAGAUGAAUAAAAUACCCUUUGUAGCUAGCUAGGUUUCAUUUUCCUUUAUCAAAAUACCCUAAUGGGAAUUCAGCAAGUUGUCCCGGACUUUAGAUGGAGACUAACGAAUUGCCGGUUUUAUGAUCGUCAUGCACUAGUAUGAGUUAAAGCUGCCAGUGUGAUCUAAACGUUUCUUCUUUGUUGAGGAACGAUAAGAUCACAUGGUUGCUUCAUCUGAUGUUGGUGGCAUGAAAAACCCUAUUUUCUAAUUCAAUCAUUUAGGGUUUUCUAUUUGUUGAAAGAAUGGUAUGUAGUUUCCUUAUUGUAUUGUUUAUAUGUUGGGUUCACCUGAAUUUUGAAUGCUUUUUGACAGUUAUAGAACGUUUAUGUAUUUGCACACCGGUUUAUGUUUUUGUUCCUUUCGGUGUAAUUGUUUGAUUUAAUGGAUUCUUAGUAUUGUUUGACAGAAAUUUCGUGGAUCCCUAGACGUGCUUUAGGAGGUGAGCCUUGAUGUUUUAUACCUAGAUUACCUGUACAAUUUCUGCAUAUCUGUUGCGUGCACUCUCUUUUUUCAUAUAUAGAACAAUGAACUGAUUUCAUUAUUUCUAUGACUUAUAAUUUCGAGAAACCCUUUUGUUUCUUAGCGUUUAUUAAUUUCUGAUGAAACCUAUGGAGUAGGGAUUUUACAUGCUUUUCUUUUUUGAACAUUAAUUUGUUAAGAGAAAUUUUGUAACUAUCUGCUCAUUUUUGUCUCAUUAUCUGAUUAAUCCUAAGAAUUGAGAUUCUUAUGAUAGCUUGUUAAUUUACAGUUCAAUGUUUUUCUUGAAGCCAGUAAUUUUAUUGACAUUUCGUCUUUUAUUCUUAGGGGCGCUUGAUUUAUGUAGAUCUGACUGAUCUACUCUAUCUUUAAGAAUUCUGGUGGUUGGUUAGUUUUCAAGACAGCUUCUGUAUUUUUUGGCAUUUUUCCUCAUAAGUUUUGCAGCCUGGCAUUUUUGUACAACACAUUUGUCUGAAAAAUGUGUACCAAAUCAGAACUAUAUUUAUAUAUCCUGAGUAAAUCUGAGUGCUGCAAGGAUGAAGUAGGAAAAUUUCUCAAUAGAUAGUUGAACUUCGCCUGAACAAAACUGGGAUCAAUGAGAACAAAUUUACAGAACUAAAUGCCCUUAUAUCAGGAUGGAAUUCUAGGAUCCUUUCAAAAGAAAAUUUGCACCUUAAAAUGCAUGAGCAGAUCAAGAUGCUUAUGAUUGAGCAUUUUGAUCUGACCGUACGUUUAAAAUUCUAAACAUUGAUCCCAGUUUUAAUCGUGAUUAUUUAGACAUUCUUGAAAUUUUCUCUUCCAUUUGGUAUCUCAGUGCUAUAAAUACUAAUGAGCUCUUUCUUGAGAACUACUUGGAGCAGAAUAAAUCAAAACAUCAUGUAACUAACCUGUGGUCGAUUCAAAUUUAUGAAUUAUUGGCAUAUAUUCAUAUAUUGACGACACAAUAAUGGGCAACUCAUCUUUUUUGGUUUAGAGUUCCUGGGAGAGUUGGUUCCUUUACUGUUUUCUGGAUGUAGAAACAGAAUGGACAGCUCUCAGCUCAUGAAUCCAUAUCAUUUAAGACUGCACACUACUCGACAGUCCCAGAUCAAUACAUGCUUUUAAUUCUUACAAAGAAUUCUGUAAUUCGAGUUCAACAAUUUAUUGUCUCAACUUAAUUAUAAAUGCGUGUUGAUUUCCAUGAACAAGAUCAGUAGGUUAUAUGCUGUUAUAGCAGAAAAAUCAUGAGCUAAUUAACCUGUGGUUGAUUCAUAAUAAUGGAUAACUCAUCUCUUUUGGUACACAGGUCUAGUUUUGGAGCCCUUCAAGGUUUUCUAAAUGUAGAAGCUGGAAUGGACAACUGAUCUUUACAUGUAAUGUGUGUGUGUGUGUGUGGUAUAUACACAUCUCAAUUUUUGUCUUCAGUAUUAGGCAAGAUUCCACACACCUUUGGUAGUCCCGGUUGUCCAUUUAUGCAUGUGAAAUGUUCUGUGAGUCUUCCUUGGUCACCCUCAUUCAGAUGGAAAUGAGAAAAGUGACAAGCUUGUUACAAUUCCAUUGGUCCUCAGAAGUGACAUCCAGCAAGAUAUGUUUUAGGAAUUAAGUUCCUUGUACUGAUGAAGUGUACCAGAAGCUUACAGAUGAUGAGGGUGGGUUGGCUGGUUUAAAUUUGGUUUUUGUCCAACAUUCAAUGAAAUCGUGCCACUGACAGUCUGUCAAACUGUGCAAAAAUCUCCAGCAUGAUUGAUGUUUUAGCCCUCCACCAGUGUCGGCUACUAUUUUAUAGCAUAUAUUAAGCAACAAAG
RNAcentral lists this long non-coding RNA (2317 nucleotides) under Olea europaea subsp. europaea. The record is from RNAcentral. Lineage: Eukaryota; Viridiplantae; Streptophyta; Magnoliopsida; Lamiales; Oleaceae.